AUCAUCACCAGUGAGGUCUGGUGGGAGGCAGAGGGUGGGGAGAGGAGGCUGAGGAAGGAACGAUCAGGACCACAUAAUGAAUGGCCUUGCAUGCCCGGCCAACGAAUGAGUGCUUUAUCCUGAGGACAUUUGGGAGCCAUCAGAAUUUCUAAGCAGGGAGUAACACCAGGAGAACUGUCUUCUAGAAGGACCACUCUGGGGCAGUGAGGUGGAGUGACCUGUCAGGAUGCUGUGGCCACAGUCUAGAGGGAGACGCUGGGGGCCUGGUGGGAGGGUGGAGAGAAAAGAGCAGAUUGGUGAGACAUCAUGAUGUAAAUUUGACAGCACUAAGUAUCUAUCUUUGUAGGGUGAUCCAGGAGCUGCAGGACAGAAGGGCCAGGCAGGAGAGAAGGGGAGAGCCGGCAUGCCUGGUGGACCUGGCAAGAGUGGUUCCAUGGGGCCUGUUGGGCCACCGGGCCCUGCAGGAGAGAGAGGCCACCCUGGAGCUCCGGGGCCUUCGGGGAGCCCUGGCUUGCCUGGUGUGCCUGGCUCCAUGGGAGACAUGGUGAAUUAUGAUGAAAUCAAGAGGUUCAUCAGACAAGAGAUCAUUAAAAUGUUUGAUGAGAGAAUGGCUUACUACACCUCCAGGAUGCAGUUCCCCAUGGAGAUGGCGGCAGCUCCGGGACGACCAGGGCCUCCAGGGAAGGAUGGUGCUCCGGGCAGGCCAGGUGCUCCAGGGUCACCUGGGCUCCCUGGUCAGAUUGGCAGAGAAGGACGGCAGGGCUUGCCAGGAGUAAGAGGACUGCCUGGUACCAAAGGUGAAAAAGGGGACAUUGGUAUUGGCAUUGCAGGAGAAAAUGGUCUUCCCGGCCC
This 852-nucleotide small RNA is filed under the name Pan troglodytes (chimpanzee). Its description in RNAcentral is "processed transcript". The record is from RNAcentral. Lineage: Eukaryota; Metazoa; Chordata; Mammalia; Primates; Hominidae.